Molecule: ribosomal RNA, 791 nt
Filed under: uncultured bacterium
Lineage: Bacteria
Description: bacterial SSU rRNA
Rfam family: Bacterial small subunit ribosomal RNA
Source: RNAcentral
AGAGUUUGAUCCUGGCUCAGAUUGAACGCUGGCGGCAUGCUUUACACAUGCAAGUCGAACGGCAGCACGGGGGCAACCCUGGUGGCGAGUGGCGAACGGGUGAGUAAUGCAUCGGAACGUAUCCUUAAGUGGGGGAUAACGCACCGAAAGGUGUGCUAAUACCGCAUAAUCUCUACGGAGAAAAGCAGGGGAUCGCAAGACCUUGCGCUUUUGGAGCGGCCGAUGCCUGAUUAGCUAGUUGGUGAGGUAAAGGCUUACCAAGGCGUCGAUCAGUAGCUGGUCUGAGAGGACGACCAGCCACACUGGGACUGAGACACGGCCCAGACUCCUACGGGAGGCAGCAGUGGGGAAUUUUGGACAAUGGGGGAAACCCUGAUCCAGCCAUGCCGCGUGAGUGAAGAAGGCCUUCGGGUUGUAAAGCUCUUUCAGCCGGAACGAAACGGUCACGGCUAAUAUCCGUGACUACUGACGGUACCGGAAGAAGAAGCACCGGCUAACUACGUGCCAGCAGCCGCGGUAAUACGUAGGGUGCAAGCGUUAAUCGGAAUUACUGGGCGUAAAGCGUGCGCAGGCGGUUUUGUAAGUCAGAUGUGAAAUCCCCGGGCUUAACCUGGGAACUGCGUUUGAAACUACAAGGCUAGAGUGUGGCAGAGGGGGGUGGAAUUCCACGUAGCAGUGAAAUGCGUAGAGAUGUGGAGGAACACCGAUGGCGAAGGCAGCCCCCUGGGUCAACACUGACGCUCAGGCACGAAAGCGUGGGGAGCAAACAGGAUUAGAUACCCCAGUAGUCC